AAGACUUACUUUCAGGUAUCAUUUUUAUAGUUUGUUACUAGAGAAGUUUCUUUGAACAUGUAGAGAUCUGGAAACCACGAGGAGGAGGCAUAGUGUUCUCUCCUGAGCAUGAAGCUGGCUCUUGGUGUUGCUUUGCUGCAGAUACCAUUUGUCAUUGAUGAUCAUUCUUUUCCUUCAGGAGAGUAAGAGAGAGAGGACAUAGUCUAAGUGGU
RNAcentral lists this small nucleolar RNA (212 nucleotides) under Propithecus coquereli (Coquerel's sifaka). RNAcentral's name for it is "Small nucleolar RNA U3 (ENSPCOG00000010340.1)". It matches the Rfam family "Small nucleolar RNA U3". From Rfam's summary of the family: Small nucleolar RNAs (snoRNAs) are involved in the processing and modification of rRNA in the nucleolus. There are two main classes of snoRNAs: the box C/D class, and the box H/ACA class. Lineage: Eukaryota; Metazoa; Chordata; Mammalia; Primates; Indriidae. The record is from Rfam by way of RNAcentral.